AUCCCCUUGGUUGAGCCUGGUGUCCCAGAGCUCAGAGGUUCCCUAAAAUUUCCAAGAGCAAAGCUCCGGUGCCUAUCCAGGUAGAGGGUGACUAUGCUCCAGGAACUAGGGCAGGAAAUCUGAGAGCCUGACUGCUACUUCAAGGGACUUCCCAUUCCUCUCUCUGGAUUUUCCCUCCACCCUCAACCUUCAGUUAGGUGGUGCCUUCCAUAGCUCAGCUUCUCCCAGGUUCUGCAGUGGGAAUCAGCUUACUCCUUACCGGACUUUCCCCUUCAAUUCUCUCUGGCAUUAAGUUUCUGCCUGUUCUGCUCUGCCAGCAGCCAGCUUCAGCUCAACAAAGACAACACCCUAGGGGCUGGUGAACAGCAGGAUGGAAAGGACUUGGGUCUCUAAAUGAACACGUGAAGCAGAGCCACCCACCAUCCUGGACCAUUCGCCUCCAGACUAUUAGAAGCCAAUGUGAAGAGGAAAAAAAUAACAGAAGGAGGCAGAAAAGGGAAGGUAUGUGGGUUGAUGUCUCAUCAAAGGCUUCCCUGGCUGGAAAGUUUACCCA
This 553-nucleotide long non-coding RNA is filed under the name Homo sapiens (human). Its description in RNAcentral is "HSALNT0047805". Lineage: Eukaryota; Metazoa; Chordata; Mammalia; Primates; Hominidae. The record is from RNAcentral.